This 2637-nucleotide ribosomal RNA is filed under the name Triticum aestivum (bread wheat). Its description in RNAcentral is "partial small subunit ribosomal RNA". Lineage: Eukaryota; Viridiplantae; Streptophyta; Magnoliopsida; Poales; Poaceae. The record is from RNAcentral.
AUGCUUAUGGCGCAGAUUGAGGAUAGAGUAAAUGAGCUAAAACAAGGGGAUAAGUCGGUGAUGGAGUAUGUAGCAGAAUUGCAGCAUUUGUGGGCUGACUUAGACCACUAUGAUCCACUGGAGUUACCACAUUCAGAAUGUAUAGUUGCUACUAAGAAGUGGGUAGAGCGUAGGAGAGUGAUGAAAUUCUUGAAGGGACUUAGCUCAGAAUUUGAAGGAAGGCGUGCUGGGUUGUUUCAUCAGCCAAAGCUCCCCUCGCUUGAGGAGGCAGUUGCAGCAAUGGCACAGGAGGAGGUCAGGUUGAAGUUGACCAGGACUGGAGAAGCGAAUGCAUCUCGCUCAGCAUUUACUGUGUCUGAAUGGAAGGAGACAAGAGAGUGCUUCAACUGUGGAGAGAAAGGUCACAUAAGCAUCAAUUGCACAGCACAACGCAGAGAAAUACGUGGUAGGGGAAGAGGUUACAGCCGAGGUGGAUACCGGGGAGUUAGAGGCAGAGGUAACUCGAGGGGUUCGAAUUAUUCCAGUGGCUUCAAAGCAAACUUGGCUAACUUGGCAACGCAAGAAGAAGGGACGUCAACAACCUCUCAAGGGGAGUCGAAGAGUAGAAGCCAGGAGGACAACACCUUUGGGAACUUUGCCCACUUUGUCUACACAGGGGAAGGAGAGGAUGACUGGAAGGAAACUUGGGAAGGAACCAGGCGUAGUGGAUUGUGGUAUAUGGAUCGUGAUGUGUCUAGGUCUGGUGCUAGUCCUAUUUUGGCUGUACUAGUUGGAGUAAGUGAGACAAUGGCGAUGAUCCAUCACUGUCGCAUGGGGCAUAUGGCUUUUGAUAAGAUGAGUAAGAUGUUUCCUGAUGUAAUGCGUGGAGUAGACAAGAGUAAGCUUGUGUGUGAUGCAUGUGAAUAUGCAAAGCACACAAGAAUCUCAUAUUUGAGUAAGGGGCUAAGGAGUAUAUCCCCGUUUAUGCUGAUUCACUCUGAUGUGUGGACAUGCCCUGUUGUUUCUGUUAGUGGAAUGAAAUAUUUUGUGACAUUUAUAGACUGCCACACUCGCAUGACUUGGGUGUACCUCAUGCGACAUAAAGAUGAGGUAUUCCAAUGUUUUCAGGAGUUUUAUGCCUAUGUGCGAAACCAAUUCAAUGUGCAGGUGCAGGUGAUCAGAUCUGACAAUGGAACUGAAUAUGUAAACAAGCAAUUUGGAGGUUUCCUGUCAGCACAAGGCAUAAUGCACCAAACAUCAUGUCCAGAUACCCCUGCUCAGAAUGGUGUUGCAGAAAGGAAAAACCGACACAUUUUAGAAGUGGCUCGAUCACUUAUGUUCACCAUGAAUGUGCCAAAAUUCUUGUGGAGUGAAGCUGUCAUGACUGCAACGUUCCUGAUCAACCGGAUGCCUUCAAAAAUGCUUGGUAUGAAGUCCCCAUGUGAGAUGCUAUUUGGGGAGAACAAAUUCUCAGUUCUUCCGAAGUUAUUUGGGUGCACCUGCUUCGUUAGAGAUCACAGACCAGCAGUGGGAAAGCUGGAUCCACGAGCUGUAAAAUGCAUAUUUGUUGGAUAUCCUGCAGGGCAGCGAGGCUAUAAGUGUUGGAGUCCUGCUGAAAGGCGCACAUUUGUAAGUAUGGAUGUCACCUUUCGAGAAUCUGAGCCUUUCUAUGGUGAGAAGACAGAUCUCAGCACUUUAUUCGAAGAACUUGACCACUCACAAUCUAUGCAGGGUGGUCAAGAGGGGGAGUGCAACUUGAGUGGUGAGUGCAGCACCAAUGGCGACAAGGAGCAGCCAAUACCAACCCCGAAAAUAGUGGGAUCCUUCAUUCCAGUUGUAGUUGAUGGGGCUGAACAGCAGAGGUGGCAGAGACCAAAUGAGGAAAGGAAUCCUCAUGUGUAUACAAGAAGGAAGAGAGGUGUGGAGGAACAAGUGCAUGAGGAGCAGUCAAAAGAAACUAUGGAACAGGGGGAGCAGUCAGAAGAAACUCAAGCGACAGGAAGCUCAUCUGAAGUGGAGUCAUAUGAAAAUUCAAGUACUGAAGAAGCAUCACCUAACCUGCCAAUUGCUCUCAAGAAGGAAGUAGCAAGGAAAACUUUGAGCAAGGGCAAUCUUGAGCAUGACAUCAGUAAUUAUGUCACCUAUGAAGCCCUAUCACCUUCAUUUAGAGCAUUUGUCGCAUCACUUCAAGCCGUGAUUGUUCCUAAAGACUGGAAAGAAGCAAGACAAGAUCCAAAGUGGUGUGACGCCAUGAGGGAAGAGUUGGAGGCCCUGAGAAAGAACAAAACAUGGGAGCUAGCAAAUCUUCCAUAUGGGAAGAAGGCAGUCAGUUGUAAGUGGAUCUUCACAGUGAAGCAGAAUCCUGAGGGUAAGGUUGAGCGUUACAAGGCAAGACUGGUAGCCAGAGGGUACAGCCAAACGUAUGGUAUUGAUUAUGACGAAACAUUCGCCCCAGUUGCAAAGAUGAAUACAGUGAGGAUUCUAAUCUCAUGUGCAGCUAACUUUGGAUGGCCACUACACCAACUUGAUGUAAAAAAUGCCUUUUUACAUGGAGAUCUACAAGAGGAAGUCUACAUGGAAAUUCCUCCUGGACUUUCUACACCUGGGACUGUUGGGAAGGUUUGUAGAUUCAGAAAAUCUCUCUAUGGUUUGAAGUAA